GGUGUUGCAUGGUUGUCGUCAGCUCGUGUCGUGAGAUGUUGGGUUAAGUCCCGCAACGAGCGCAACCCUUAAGCUUAGUUGCCAGCAUUCAGUUGGGCACUCUAAGGUGACUGCCGGUGACAAACCGGAGGAAGGUGGGGAUGACGUCAAAUCAUCAUGCCCCUUAUGACCUGGGCUACACACGUGCUACAAUGGACGGUACAAACGGUUGCCAACCCGCGAGGGGGAGCUAAUCCGAUAAAACCGUUCUCAGUUCGGAUUGUAGGCUGCAACUCGCCUACAUGAAGCCGGAAUCGCUAGUAAUCGUGGAUCAGCAUGCCACGGUGAAUACGUUCCCGGGUCUUGUACACACC
RNAcentral lists this ribosomal RNA (353 nucleotides) under uncultured bacterium. RNAcentral describes it as "bacterial SSU rRNA". It matches the Rfam family "Bacterial small subunit ribosomal RNA", at positions 1037 to 1391 of the family's 1533-position model. The record is from RNAcentral.